This 969-nucleotide ribosomal RNA is filed under the name Arthrobacter sp. RNAcentral describes it as "bacterial SSU rRNA". It matches the Rfam family "Bacterial small subunit ribosomal RNA", at positions 467 to 1432 of the family's 1533-position model. The record is from RNAcentral. Lineage: Bacteria; Bacillati; Actinomycetota; Actinomycetes; Micrococcales; Micrococcaceae.
AAGUGACGGUACCUGCAGAAGAAGCGCGGGCUAACUACGUANCNGCAGCCGCGGUAAUACGUAGGGCGCAAGCGUUAUCCGGAUUUUAUGGGUGUAAAGAGUUCGUAGACNGUUUGUCGAGUCUGCCGUGAAAGUCCGAGGCUCAGCCUCGGAUCUGCGGUGGGUACGGGCAGACUAGAGUGAUGUAGGGGAGCCUGGAAUUCCUGGUGUAGCGGUGAAAUGCGCAGAUAUCAGGAGGACCACUGAUGGCGAAGGCAGGUCUCUGGGCAUUUCCUGACGUUGAGGAGCGAAAGCUUGGGGAGCGAUCAGGAUUAGAUGNCAUGGUAGUCCAUGCGGUAAACGUUGGGCAUUAGGUGUGGGGGACAUUCCACGUUUUCCGCGCGGUAGCUAACGCAUUAAGUUCCCCCCUUGGGGAGUACGGCCGCAAGGUUAAAACUCAAAGGAAUUGACGGGGGCCCGCACAAGCGGCGGAGCAUGCGGAUUAAUUCGAUGCAACGCGAAGACCCUUACCAAGGCUUGACAUGUUCCAGCCCGGGUUAGAGAUAGUCCUUCCCUUCGGGGUUGGUUCACAGGUGGUGCAUGGUUGUCGUCAGUUCGUGUCGUGAGAUGUUGGGUUAAGUCCCCCACCGAGCGCACCCCUCGUUCCAUGUUGCCAGCACGUAGUGGUGGGGACUCAUGGGAGCCUGCCGGGGUCAACUCGGAGGAAGGUGGGGAUGACGUCAAAUCAUCAUCCCCCUUAUGUCUUGGGCUUCACGCAUGCUCCAAUGGCCGGUCCAAUGGGUUGCGAUACUGUGAGGUGGAGCUAAUCCCUAAAAGCCGGUCUCAGUUCGGAUUGGGGUCUGCACCUCGACCCCAUGAAGUCGGAGUCGCUAGUAAUCGCAGAUCAGCAACGCUGCGGUGAAUACGUUCCCGGGCCUUGUACACACCGCCCGUCAAGUCACGAAAGUUGGUACACACCCGAAGCCGAUG